This 301-nucleotide ribosomal RNA is filed under the name uncultured bacterium. RNAcentral describes it as "partial 16S ribosomal RNA". It matches the Rfam family "Bacterial small subunit ribosomal RNA", at positions 509 to 807 of the family's 1533-position model. The record is from RNAcentral.
CAGCCGCCGCGGUAAUACGAACCGUGCGAACGUUAUUCGGAAUCACUGGGCUUAAAGCGCGUGUAGGCGGAUGGGAGCGUCGGCCUCUGAAAUCCCCCGGCUCAACCGGGGAAGUGGAGCCGAAACGACCCGUCUGGAGGGACGUAGGGGGACCUGGAACUUCCGGUGGAGCGGUGAAAUGCGUUGAGAUCGGAAGGAACGCCCGUGGCGAAAGCGAGGUCCUGGACGUCUGCUGACGCUGAGACGCGAAAGCCAGGGGAGCGAACGGGAUUAGAUACCCCCGUAGUCCCUGUCUCUUAUA